RNAcentral lists this ribosomal RNA (506 nucleotides) under uncultured bacterium. RNAcentral describes it as "partial 16S ribosomal RNA". It matches the Rfam family "Bacterial small subunit ribosomal RNA", at positions 30 to 523 of the family's 1533-position model. The record is from RNAcentral.
AUUGAACGCUGGCGGAAGGCUUAACACAUGCAAGUCGAGCGGUAACAGAGAGAAGCUUGCUUCUCUGCUGACGAGCGGCGGACGGGUGAGUAAUGCCUAGGAAUCUGCCUAGUAGUGGGGGAUAACUUGCCGAAAGGUAAGCUAAUACCGCAUACGUCCUACGGGAGAAAGGAGGGGACCUUCGGGCCUUUCGCUAUUAGAUGAGCCUAGGUCGGAUUAGUUAGUUGGUGAGGUAAUGGCUCACCAAGACCGCGAUCCGUAACUGGUCUGAGAGGAUGAUCAGUCACACUGGAACUGAGACACGGUCCAGACUCCUACGGGAGGCAGCAGUGGGGAAUAUUGGACAAUGGGGGUAACCCUGAUCCAGCCAUGCCGCGUGUGUGGAGAAGGUCUUAGGAUUGUAAAGCACUUUAAGUUGGGAGGAAGAGCAGUUAACUAAUAUUUGACUGUUUUGACGUUACCGACAGAAUAAGCACCGGCUAACUUCGUGCCAGCCGCCGCGGUAA